GAAAGUCGGUGAAGGACUUUCCAGAUUGUGAUGUUGACCACAGAAGGCACUGCAGUCCUGAGAUGUGACUUGAGGAGAUCAUCACCAGUUAAACACACCCCCCAUGCUCCUGUUUGAGCUCUCUGUGCAGACACAAAACAGUAUCAGUGUCCUUGAGAAGCUGGGGACUUGUUUUCUCUGAGGACAUGAUGUACUGCUGUGUCUCACCUGACCUGAAGUGAGGUGGGCUGUGGGAGAUUUUGGACUUGGAUAUCUUGGACUUGACUACCAAAUUUUUGGCUCUAGAAUUGGCCAGUGUGAGCAGCCGUCCCCCUAAGACUUCCCAAAAUUCUGAAGGCAUUGUAAAAGUUGUAAUCCAAGCAGGACUGUUGAAAGAUGUUCAGUGGGAAAAUCUGCAUCUGAAAAUAUGCUAAUAUAUUAAUAUUCUAAUGUACUGAUUUUUUUUUCAAUUAAAUGAUUCAUGCUAAAAAGUAUUUCUCAUCAAUUGGAAACAAUAUGCACUUCCUUUCAAAUCAGAAG
This 519-nucleotide long non-coding RNA is filed under the name Cyanistes caeruleus (blue tit). RNAcentral describes it as "lncRNA (ENSCCEG00000010193.1)". The record is from RNAcentral. Lineage: Eukaryota; Metazoa; Chordata; Aves; Passeriformes; Paridae.